RNAcentral lists this ribosomal RNA (301 nucleotides) under uncultured bacterium. Its description in RNAcentral is "partial 16S ribosomal RNA". It matches the Rfam family "Bacterial small subunit ribosomal RNA", at positions 509 to 807 of the family's 1533-position model. The record is from RNAcentral.
CAGUCGCCACGGUAAUACGGAGGGUGCAAUCGUUAAUCGGAAUUACUGGGCGUAAAGCGCACGCAGGCGGUCUGACAAGUCAGAUGUGAAAUCCCCGGGCUUAACCUGGGAACUGCAUUUGAAACUGUCAGGCUGGAGUCUUGUAGAGGGGGGUAGAAUUCCAGGUGUAGCGGUGAAAUGCGUAGAGAUCUGGAGGAAUACCGGUGGCGAAGGCGGCCCCCUGGACAAAGACUGACGCUCAGGUGCGAAAGCGUGGGGAGCAAACAGGAUUAGAUACCCGGGUAGUCCCUGUCUCUUAUAC